RNAcentral lists this ribosomal RNA (449 nucleotides) under Variovorax paradoxus. Its description in RNAcentral is "bacterial SSU rRNA". It matches the Rfam family "Bacterial small subunit ribosomal RNA", at positions 24 to 476 of the family's 1533-position model. The record is from RNAcentral. Lineage: Bacteria; Pseudomonadati; Pseudomonadota; Betaproteobacteria; Burkholderiales; Comamonadaceae.
UCAGAUUGAACGCUGGCGGCAUGCCUUACACAUGCAAGUCGAACGGCAGCGCGGGAGCAAUCCUGGCGGCGAGUGGCGAACGGGUGAGUAAUACAUCGGAACGUGCCCAAUCGUGGGGGAUAACGCAGCGAAAGCUGUGCUAAUACCGCAUACGAUCUACGGAUGAAAGCAGGGGACCGCAAGGCCUUGCGCGAAUGGAGCGGCCGAUGGCAGAUUAGGUAGUUGGUGAGGUAAAGGCUCACCAAGCCUUCGAUCUGUAGCUGGUCUGAGAGGACGACCAGCCACACUGGGACUGAGACACGGCCCAGACUCCUACGGGAGGCAGCAGUGGGGAAUUUUGGACAAUGGGCGCAAGCCUGAUCCAGCCAUGCCGCGUGCAGGAUGAAGGCCUUCGGGUUGUAAACUGCUUUUGUACGGAACGAAACGGCUCUUGCCAGCGUUCAAUCUGA